Long non-coding RNA from Neodiprion virginianus, 1349 nucleotides. RefSeq lists it as uncharacterized. The transcript is spliced from 4 exons. Lineage: Eukaryota; Metazoa; Arthropoda; Insecta; Hymenoptera; Diprionidae. The record is from RefSeq and is a predicted model, not a curated record.
UCUGUUGUGUGGUGUGAGACGUCUCGACAGUGUACCAACAGUGAGUGAGCUGCGACUUACGAAUCCAGCACAUACUUAUGACUCUACACAUUGGAAUAUUUAACGAAAGGUGGUCUGAUUGAUCCGGAUGAAGAAUCUCCGUCGCUGACGAGUUGAUUGUGAGCGUAAAUACCGACUUAUUUCAUGCGGAAGUUUGGUCAAACAAAGGAAUUCAUAUCAUGACAGCAACAAAACGUGCUUCUAUGGUAAGCAAAUACGAAUUUUCGCUGCAUGUAAUUGUCGGAAAAAUACUACCUCACCUACCGACGCACUUACCGAUCAAUUUGAUACUCUUGAUUUCACCAUGAUGGCGCUUGCAUCGACAUUUCGUAAAUUUUGGCGGGAUACGCAAGCUCUGACAAACAAGUGACAAACGAUCAAGUAGCCAUUUUCAUUAUUAUUCGCCUGACGUUGAGUUUCGUUCGUGUAAUCCAAUUAACCGCGUGUAAGUUGAAGUUGGUGUGUUGUGUUUAAAGUGAAAUAAUGUACUGACUUAUCGCAGAUAAAGUGUGUAUUCGUUGGAAUAAUUACGGAAUGCGGUGUGGUUGAUAGUUUAGCGGGAAAACAAGGUCGCGAGACAGCCGAAUCAACAAAGUUUGACGGUGCGAUUUUCGUUCGACGCUGGUUUGUAUAUUUCCUCGACCUUCGUCCAGCCAAAGUAGAGCAUUCGCGUAAUGACCAUCAAUCGGUGACCUUCGGUGCAGUCUAGCAGUGUAAAUCAGUGCAGUCUAGUUGUGCAAAUCAGUGCAAAUGGGCAACCAGCAGUGUUUGAGGAUGAUACGGCAUCAAAAGAGUAUUCACGAGGACUCCCGGUUACAAUUCACAAUUCUAGAUUGUCGCCGCACGUUGUCCCGUCUCUGACUAGACCCAUGUCCGGCAUUUCGGAGCCCUCAACAGUCCCUGUUGUCGACCUGAAAGCAAUCGAGGAACAAUUGGCAUUUUUGACUGGGGACCAUAUUUGGAUUUGAAAAGUUUGAAUCUAUAAGCUCGAGCAGUGACAUUUCCGUAGUUGAAAAAUUGGAUCGUCGCAGAGCAGAGAACAACAGAAAUUUCACACAACACAGCUGAAAUUCCGUGAGCUUCGUAUCGAGCAAUCCAGCAUUCUUCCACCUCCUCCUCCUCCUCGUCCUUCGUCUUGAAUAAGAAGUGAAGAGAUUGAUACGUACCAAAGUACAGUCACGCGAUCACGGGGUGAAAUAUUACUAGAUAAUAUUUCCCCCAUGGACCUGCUGCAAAUUCUUACAGACUCGGAGCUGUCGUGAUCCUGGUGCAGAUGAUUGUGAUGGUGAUGGGUAUGGGAACCUCCGUGC